CCAGGAUGAAGCGACCGAUCUGAUGCUCCUGAAGAGUAUGAAAGUGUAAGUGGAGUGAGAGAGAGAGAAAGAGAGAGAGAGUGAGAGAGAGAGGCAAAAAGAAAGAAAAAGCUAGUGGAAAGCAGUACGACACAAUCUGCGCCACUGUCUGCUGAGAACAUCGGGUGCCACAGGGAGAUGCUGGUUCUUUACUGUAGUCGUAAGCUUCCAACACCCCGUUGUACAUUCUCUACUACACCAGAGCUCACAACAUCCUAAAGCUGCAGCAGGCUUGAUAAGAAACUCUGCUCUGCCACUGAGUCGCUCUACUUGCAAAUGGCCAGGAACUCAAUCUCAUACACAAGCAAGCCCACACACAGAUGUGUAAACAUGCACAUACACAUAUACCAACUUGUACACACAAUACCAUAUUUUUGGUGAGUUUAUAAAUUAUUUAGGGUGUGUACCUGAAUUUAAUCCUGCUUUGCAUUUUGAUGUGCUGGUAUAGAGUUAGCAGCAUCUCAAUGUGAAAAUGUUGAUGCAGUUCUCUCUCACACUCUCUCUCUCUCUCUCUCUCUAUCUUUCUAUCUAUCUAUCUUAUUUCCAUUCUUUCUUAUACUGGUUGCGGCUAUAUGACUGAUCUAAACGUCUGAUUUCCACUGGGAUACCAAAAGCUGUUUUUAGAUGCUAGGCAAAGGCUUUUUGCUCACUGAGUGCAGCUGUCUGAUGCACCCAUGAGAUAUUUGCUGCUCCAUCAGCUGUCAGUACAGCACUGUACCUGAGACUUAACGCUUAACCAGACAGUCCUCUGUUUCUGCACAGACCAUCUUUUAACUGCUAACUAAAGCUUUUGGCUUUUAGGCCAGAAAGAAAUUACAGCCUACUAAUGAGAAAACACUAAGACGUGUUUUGUCAAGAAUAUGUCUUAACUACCUAUCAAACUGGUCUGCAUUAGUACAAAUUUUACUAAUAUCUCAACAAUAUAUUGUGCUGUAACUGAGGC
Long non-coding RNA from Ictalurus punctatus (channel catfish), 982 nucleotides. Lineage: Eukaryota; Metazoa; Chordata; Actinopteri; Siluriformes; Ictaluridae. The record is from Ensembl.